UACAGCGUGUCUCUUUAAAAGCCGAUUCCUUUAGCGCAGGUCUGUUCUGUCCUCUGGGACUACUAGUUGCUAGGCUAAUUGUAUUGUACUACAGUGCUAGUAGCAAGUUAGGGAUGGCCUUGGAGGUUGAGUGUGUGGUGUGCACGACUUACUCGAGAUGAGGAGAGGAAGCACAGAGUCACAGACGGAGCGAAUGUUUUAUUUAUUCGAUUUUCGACAUGCAACAUUUUGUAAGUAGUUUAACUCUACAAUUGGACUCGGUGCAAAUGCUGAAAAUGUAUCGAUGGUAACCAGUAGCUAGCUCGCUGGAGGCAGGGAAAGAAAGCUCCCGGUGGUGCUCUGCUCCUAGCUAAACGAAUAAUAAAGGACUUCGAAAGGAAAUGGUCAAGAUGGCAGCUGCAUUCGGAAUGUGAAGGUGCUAGUUUUACAUUUUGAUGUAACCCGCAUUUUGGAAAUGGUAAAGAAACACGGGCAAACGGAACGCUGUUGAUUGAGUAGCUAACGUUAUCUAUUCAUUGAGGACGCUCUACACGCCAUUCCCAAGAUAAGGGAUUCAAUAUAAUUCCACCACCUAACGUAUGUAUUAACACAUUUUAUAGAUUUUAUUUUUAUUUUUACAAAGUACAAACAGACGCUGCAGUACUAGCUCAAUGCCCAUUAAAAAAAGGGGCUUUUAAGUCGCGCCAUCAAUUUUGCUGCGAUCAGCAGAGAGAAGACAGUCGACUGGACGCACGUGGGGUUCUAUCAGCUGGAGGUGUGGAAUGUGGGUACUAGUUAUUGUACUCAUUGUUUUAAUAUGAGUCUGGUAAUGUCAUGCUGAUAUUAUGCAUGAUAACCAAACAAAUACUAUUUUAUUAAUGGAAUGCAAUUUUGUUAAUCAGUGUAUACCGAAUACAAGCGACAAACCAAGGAGAGGAAUAUGGCUGAAGUACCGCACAAUGAUAUUGACAUCGAUCCGGACUUCGAGCCCCAGAAACGACCGAGGUCUUGUACCUGGCCUCUGCCUCGACCGGAGUCCAACACAGGGAAGCCCGAAUCGAACGAUGACAUCAUCCCGGAGGACGAGGAGGAUUAUGUCACAGCGCCCAGCAUCUCUAGCUCCACUCCUGUCAACAAUUUGAAUGGUGGCAUAACGAUACCUCAGAACACAAAUAACUUAUCUGAACACCAAACCCUCCCCGUCACCACUAAGAAAGAAGUACUAACCCCAACUUCAAAAGAGGAGGCUGGGUCUUCACAGACGCAUGCUAUCACAGCUCUCAAUGGCCUGGCCUCCCAACCUAGGAAGUCCUCAACUCGGAGGAAUGCCUGGGGGAACUACUCCUAUGCGGACCUCAUCACCCAGGCCAUAGAGAGCUCCCCGGACCAGAGGCUGACGUUAGCCCAGAUCUAUGAUUGGAUGGUGAGAUCUGUCACUUACUUCAAGGACAAAGGGGACAGCAACAGCUCUGCAGGCUGGAAGAACUCCAUCCGACACAACCUCUCUCUCCACAGUCGUUUCAUGCGGGUGCAUAAUGAAGGAACAGGGAAGAGUUCCUGGUGGAUGGUUAACCCAGAGGUUGGGAAAAGUGGCAAAGCUCCACGACGACGGGCCGUAUCCAUGGACAACGGCAACAAGCUGAUCAAAGGUGCUCGAGGCCGAGCCGCGAAGAAGGCAUCUCUAGUCCUACAGACCUUCCAAGAUGGCAGCUCCGAGAGUUUAUCUCUGUCCUCUAGCCUGUCCAAGUGGACAGGAAGUCCCACGUCUCGCAGCAGCGACGAACUGGACACCUGGACAGACUUCAGGUCACGUACCAACUCCAACGCCAGCACGGUCAGUGGCCGCCUCUCCCCUAUCCUGGCCAACCCGGAACUGGAUGAGGCUCUGGAUGACGACUCGAUCGCGCCCCUCUACUCCAGUCCCAGCAGAUUGUCCCCCUCCACCGCCACCCUCGGUCUGGGCGACAUGGCCCUUACUAUGAACCUCAACGACGGGCUCCCUGACCACCUGAUGGGUGACUUUCUUGACAACAUCAGCCUUACGGCGUCCCAGCAGCCCCAGGGGCAGGAAGUGGAGAGCAGAACCAAUCAGACGGGGAGCUCAGUGUUUACCUACACGUGUCCAGGAAGCAGCAGUAGUCUGGUCGUCCCGUCCUCCGGCAGCUUCGGCCCUCCCGGCACCAUCUUCCUGCUCAGCUCCCCACCCUCAGUGGCCUCCCUACGUCAGUCCCCCAUGCAGACCAUCCAGGAGAACCACCAAGCUUCCUUCUCCUGCCUGUCCUCUCGUUUCAACAACCACCACACUCUGCAAGACCAAAUGAACCUGGAGACCCAUGGCAGCCAUGUCAGCGACGUCAUGCUCACACACUCUGACCCGAUGAUGUCACAAGCCAGCGCCUCUGUCACUUUGUCCCAGAAUUCCCAGCGGAAUGCUAUGCUUCUCCGCAAGGACCCUAUGUCAUCAUCAAUCCGGGACUGUGCUGCAGGUCCAAAUUCACAGACUCCCCCAGUGCCCGGUUGGUGGGCUCAGGCUGGCUUGUCAACACCUGCCAAUGAAGACUUGUGCUCAAGCAAUGAAUUGGCCCAGCAGGCCAACCAGAUUCUCCAGCACCUCCCAUCUCCCAGUAGAAAUUAUUGUAUGCAGCUUGGUGGCUCUGGUACAAACGGCAGAUCUGGAAGCCUUUUGCAGUUGAAUGCUCAGGACCACUUCCCAUCAGACCCUGAUCUGGAGGUGUUCAACGGCAGGCUGGACUGUGACAUACGUAAUGAGCUGAUGGACGCUGACUGCCUUGGCUUAUGUUUUGACCACUCUCCCCUGCGCUCUGGUACUCCGACCACUAAUAACUUAAGUACAGCAGGGGGAUUCUCCAGCUCCAAACAAACCUCUUCUUCCCCAAGCUGGGUUCCAAGCUAGCUGAGGUACUGUCCUACCCAGUGCCCGGUUUCAGAACAGUGUCAGGGUUGGGGACAGUUUGAAUUUCAGUCAAGGUAAUUCAAUGGAAUUUGUGUACUUGCUGAAUUGACAUUGAAUUGAACCCAACCCUGAUCAGUAUAGAGAGUGAUCAUUACAGGCAUUACAUAUCUAGAACUGCAAGUGUCUGGAAGACAAGAUGGUGAUGAGCUUCUUUGUAUCCUUAACCAUGUUCCAAAAACAAGGAGGCUUGAGUCUGAUUUCAGGGCAUGUAUUCACAAACCGUCUGCUAGUAGAAGGGAUGAUUUAGGACCAGGUCCUCACUCUUAUUCAUAGUGAUCUGAAAGGCAAAAACUGAUCUUAGAUUAGCACUCGUGCUUUGUGAAUACAGGCCCUGGACUGUAGAGCUGUGUCUAGUCUGUUGGAAGUUGGGACAGUGACAAUUAGUUUUUCUUUUUUUUAAAUAAAAUAAAACAAACCUUUUUAACACCAGUGUUAUCAGUGGGAUUUUAGAUAUGUAAAUGUGAAAGACACUGCUUUUAAGUCUCAGGGAUUUGUCCUUAUGUGGUGGAUUGUCAACACUUUUUACCCUGCUUUCCCAUGUCAUAUUUCUUAACCAUACAUGAACCAACACAAUAUUUGUCAGUCCAGUGGUUGACUGCCUGUUUACAUCUAACAAGCUCCAGCGAAUGUGACCUUGUAGAUACUCCAUUCAGCUUUUUGUGCUUUUACUGCUGUGUUCUCAGCAGAAAAGAGGACAAACUAAA
Molecule: RNA transcript, 3657 nt
Organism: Oncorhynchus gorbuscha (pink salmon)
Lineage: Eukaryota; Metazoa; Chordata; Actinopteri; Salmoniformes; Salmonidae
Gene: foxo3a
Gene name: forkhead box O3A
Exons: 3
Source: RefSeq, a predicted model, not a curated record